GUGAUCAUACCAGCACUAAUGCACUGGAUCCCAUCAGAACUCCGAAGUUAUGCGUGCUUGGGCGAGAGAAGUACUAGGAUGGGUGACCCCCAGGGAAGUCCUCGAGGUUGUAAAUA
RNAcentral lists this ribosomal RNA (116 nucleotides) under Zingiber officinale. Lineage: Eukaryota; Viridiplantae; Streptophyta; Magnoliopsida; Zingiberales; Zingiberaceae. The record is from RNAcentral.